This 164-nucleotide ribosomal RNA is filed under the name Swallenia alexandrae. RNAcentral's name for it is "5.8S ribosomal RNA". It matches the Rfam family "5.8S ribosomal RNA". From Rfam's summary of the family: 5.8S ribosomal RNA (5.8S rRNA) is a component of the large subunit of the eukaryotic ribosome. It is transcribed by RNA polymerase I as part of the 45S precursor that also contains 18S and 28S rRNA. The record is from RNAcentral. Lineage: Eukaryota; Viridiplantae; Streptophyta; Magnoliopsida; Poales; Poaceae.
CACAUGACUCUCGGCAACGGAUAUCUCGGCUCUCGCAUCGAUGAAGAACGUAGCAAAAUGCGAUACCUGGUGUGAAUUGCAGAAUCCCGUGAACCAUCGAGUUUUUGAACGCAAGUUGCGCCUGAGGCCUUCAGGCCGAGGGCACGUCUGCCUGGGCGUCACGC